This is a non-coding RNA of Doryrhamphus excisus (bluestripe pipefish), 641 nucleotides long. NCBI's taxonomy places the organism in Eukaryota, Metazoa, Chordata, Actinopteri, Syngnathiformes, Syngnathidae. The record is from RefSeq and is a predicted model, not a curated record.
AUGGUAUCCCGUUCCUCGCUAUUGCUAAAGUAGGAGCAAAGCUAGCCGAAGUCCAGUCCAUGUAGUUUAAUGCUGGCAAGCUUACACUUUGGAAGUCAGGCUGCUGAGCUUUGACGGAGAAGGCGCUGUGGUCAUGAUCACCUCUCUCGCAGUAAGGUUCUCCCUCCUCCAUGUAGAAGGCUUGGUUCCUAAUAGGAGUCUUGCAGGCUGCACACUUGAAACACUGAACGUGUUCGGCGCGUAGCGGUUAUCGUGGCACUUGGUGCAGAAGACGGAACCUCUCUCCUCGAAGAAGCCGCCUUCGUCCAGGACCGACUUGCACUGUGAACACGUGAACUCUUCAGGGUGCCAAGAACGUCCCAGGGCCACCAGGCGCCGCACACGGGGGUCCUCCCGCUGCCUUCGGGAGCCUGCUGCGCCGCCUGAAGGAUGGAGCUGCGGUUCUCCAUGGGCGUCGGCUGAACUGGCUGCUGGUGACGUGUCACCACCGUGCUCGUCUUGUCCGGGUGGAAGCGAUCCGCAAAACUUGGGUCCGUCACCCACGGGGGUCGGGAGGAAGGAGCCGAGGCAGAUGCAGUCUUGGAUCCUGCGUUUUGGGGGAGGGUGGGCUGUGACUUUGGAUACUUUCAGUUAUAUGUUGG